UAAACCCUUUUGAGCAGUCUCCAGUAAU
RNAcentral lists this non-coding RNA (28 nucleotides) under Rattus norvegicus (Norway rat). Lineage: Eukaryota; Metazoa; Chordata; Mammalia; Rodentia; Muridae. The record is from RNAcentral.